This is a long non-coding RNA of Varroa destructor (honeybee mite), 1162 nucleotides long. The record is from RefSeq and is a predicted model, not a curated record. Lineage: Eukaryota; Metazoa; Arthropoda; Arachnida; Mesostigmata; Varroidae.
GAGUAAUACCAGUGGCCGCAGUUGUACGAAUGCGUGUCCGCAUGCCAUCUCCACAAGGGCUACAGGCUACCGGCUACAAGCAACUUUAGAAAUUGCCAUUAUGUUCAUUAUCACCGAACAACGAAAACUGACACGGGGGCAAAGCUGAACUUCCUAGCGCUGGUGUCUCUGUGUUUGUGUUGGCGCUGCUGUCUCGGUCUAUCUAUCGUCUGUCACCUGCUCGGCCGCGUUCGUUUAUUUGAACUAUAGUGCGCGGGCGGCAUUGUCGUCAUUAGUAUUGGCAAUGAAAACGCAAAAAAUGCGCGUCACCGAUCACAUGAGUAAAAGGCGGGCAUGCGAUGUGCGUCAGGUAUCAUCUCACAUGAAUACAAAAUUAUAAAGAAGGGAAGAGAGAAGCAUAUUUCAGCCGGAAAGCCUUGUCAAAAUCGCCAGAUCAGCUAUCUGUAGUUUUCUGAUAGUAUUGAAACGCCUCAACACGACUAUGCAACGUUUGUGUGAAAAAAUUGUAUGCCAGUUGGAAUUAUUUCAUGCGUUUGAACGAUACCAACAAGGCCUACUUGUGGAAACGAACGAAAGGUAGGCAUGACGCCCACAGCUGACCUAUUCUGUCAGCUUCACCAAAAUCAACACCCAUUAAAAAGGAUCCGCAGUUUAAAUGAAAGGUAAUAGGUCCUAGUUGUUAGUCCUAGUUGGCAGCUGAUAUCUGCUAUUAUACCUAGCGACAACUUCGUGCAAGAAUUGACUGGCACAUCGUGGGGUCUUCUAAAAGCUGUCCAGUAUUUCUGCUUCGAAUAGGCCAGUCACAUUAUCGCUGUUGACGAACGAAUAAUAUUGAGAUGUUCAACCCCCCAGAAAAUUGUUUAAUUCUAUUCCUUGGAAGUGCUCGUUCCUAACUGUUAUCUGAUCAGCAGACAGCGUGAAGUGUACGUGAAGUUUUCCAAUGCCCCAUCCAUUUUAGCGGGCCACCUACUAACAAGAUAAUAGCGCAAUCUUAUGAAUAAAUGGAAUUUGGCGCGCUGCAAGUCCUAAGCCACACAAGUACUUACCAGCCUUUUGAAGUCCAAGCGUGGGAAGCAAAAUCUGCUAAAUUGCUCAAACGAAAACACUAAUCAAAAUUUAAAUGGACAAAAAAAACGCAGUGCAACGGCCUCUGCAGUGCAUC